This 253-nucleotide ribosomal RNA is filed under the name uncultured bacterium. Its description in RNAcentral is "partial 16S ribosomal RNA". It matches the Rfam family "Bacterial small subunit ribosomal RNA", at positions 524 to 776 of the family's 1533-position model. The record is from RNAcentral.
UUCGGGGGGGGCAAGCGUUGUUCGGAAUUACUGGGCGUAAAGGGCUCGUAGGUGGUCAACUAAGUCGGACGUGAAAUCCCUCGGCUUAACCGGGGAACUGCGUCCGAUACUGGAUGACUUGAGUUCGGGAGAGGGAUGCGGAAUUCCAGGUGUAGCGGUGAAAUGCGUAGAUAUCUGGAGGAACACCGGUGGCGAAGGCGGCAUCCUGGACCGACACUGACGCUGAGGAGCGAAAGCCAGGGGAGCAAACGGG